RNAcentral lists this ribosomal RNA (253 nucleotides) under uncultured bacterium. RNAcentral describes it as "partial 16S ribosomal RNA". It matches the Rfam family "Bacterial small subunit ribosomal RNA", at positions 524 to 776 of the family's 1533-position model. The record is from RNAcentral.
UACGUAGGGACCAAGCGUUGUCCGGAAUCAUUGGGCGUAAAGCGCGCGUAGGUGGCCAUUUAAGUCCGCUGUGAAAGUCAAAGGCUCAACCUUUGAAAGCCGGUGGAUACUGGGUGGCUAGAGUACGGAAGAGGCGAGUGGAAUUCCUGGUGUAGCGGUGGAAUGCGCAGAUAUCAGGAGGAACACCAAUAGCGAAGGCAGCUCGCUGGGACGGUACUGACGCUGAGACGCGAAAGCGUGGGGAGCGAACAGG